This is a non-coding RNA of Vicugna pacos (alpaca), 1567 nucleotides long. NCBI's taxonomy places the organism in Eukaryota, Metazoa, Chordata, Mammalia, Artiodactyla, Camelidae. The record is from RefSeq and is a predicted model, not a curated record.
GUUCUAGAUAGUCUUCUACAAUUCUAUGUUUAAAAUAAAUGUUUAAGUUUCUUCUUGUUAAUCUUUCUCUGUUCUCCGGUAGUUGUUGGUUUUUGUUUUUGUUUUUUAAUUCUUUAAAAAUGACAGAGUUUGUUUUGGAGCCUGAGGGUGGGCAAGAAUUUGAGUGGCCUGUGGCCUGCUCCUCUCAGGGUUCUGGGAGAUGCAGACGGAGGUGGAAGAGUGGAUGGUGGCAGAUGGGAAAAGGAAGCAAGCUGGCCAAACCUGUGGGGACGGGAAGAGAAGAGGAGGUGGACAGGACUUUGGCGCUGGCCUGACACAUGGCCCCUGGGGCUUCACAGCGAAGAAGGCCGGCUGCAUUCCCCUCCACUGAGCUUGAUUGUGAGAGUAUGGAAUUUCCUUCUUUAAAAUUUGGAAAAAUAGUUCUCAUUCUGAAUCCAAAGUGGCUGGUAAAGAUGAUCUCAUAAGGAUUUCUUCCAGGCCAAACUCUAUGGUGGUGACGAUGACUUCUGGUUAUUGCGACAGACACAAAUGAAGAAGAAGAGCAAAGCAAUGGCCAGGGGGAUGGCAACACUCGGCACCAGGAUGUACAGGAUCUCCAUUUUAUUCUUCUCCUUGGAAUCCUUUGAAUCUGGGUGCAGAAAUGGAAAAGAGCAAAUGUUAUACUAGUUUAAAUAACAUGGAUGAUAUUACACUGCAGAGUUUAAAACGACCUCCUCUUCUUCUAUACAUAAAAAUGUAUUGUGAGAAAAAGGAACCAUUGCUUAUUACAAUUUGUUUCCAUCAAACCUUCAACGUGAUUUAUUAAAGUUUAAAGUUCAAACGUUUAAAAAUUGCAGAGGGACAUUAUGAAGACUUUGCGUGUGUCUGGGUCCCCCUCAGAUGUUGCAUCUCUUUAGCCUGCAUUUCUCCAACACCUUAAAAGUUAAACGCCACGUGGAUGGACUGUAUACAUCCAAGAACAUUAAUGUGGACCACAGGGGUCUUCUUCUGUUGGCUGCUAGCCCAAAUCAACCAGAAGUCAUGCCCGUGUCUUGGCUGGUUUGGAUAUACAGGGCCAAUCCUGCAUCUUCCAGAAUCAACAUCACCAAAGAAUCCUGGCCCCAGGGUCCACAAAGCGACAGGCCUGAGAUGACAGGGACCCCAAGUCAGGGCCAGCUCAGUUUCUGAUGAGCUGUGUGAUCCUGAACAAACCACUCACCUCUCUGGGUCUUUUUCUCAUCCACAAAAGUGAAGUAUCUGUUUUGGAUGGUGUCUAUGAUAACCUCUAGCACAACAUCACUGUAUAACCUGACACUAUUUUGAAACUCAAGAGUUCUUCUUAAAUGGUUUCAUAUGAACUCAAGAAUUGUGAGCGCUAACAAUUGAAAGUAUACUUUCGAAAUCUUAUACAUCCACUGUUACCAUUGCUUGGAAAAGAAUGUAACAUGUAUAGAAGGACAUGAGGACACAUACUUUUCUUUUUUUUUUUUUGGUUUGGGUCUGACCAUUAAACUAAAUGCCCUGGGGCAUACUAUAAUUAAUGAAUUAUUUGACUGGUAAAACAAAUGCAAGCAUUGUGGGACAGUAA